Molecule: ribosomal RNA, 1004 nt
Filed under: Shigella flexneri
Lineage: Bacteria; Pseudomonadati; Pseudomonadota; Gammaproteobacteria; Enterobacterales; Enterobacteriaceae
Description: partial 23S ribosomal RNA
Rfam family: Bacterial large subunit ribosomal RNA
Source: RNAcentral
GUUGUGAGGUUAAGCGACUAAGCGUACACGGUGGAUGCCCUGGCAGUCAGAGGCGAUGAAGGACGUGCUAAUCUGCGAUAAGCGUCGGUAAGGUGAUAUGAACCGUUAUAACCGGCGAUUUCCGAAUGGGGAAACCCAGUGUGAUUCGUCACACUAUCAUUAACUGAAUCCAUAGGUUAAUGAGGCGAACCGGGGGAACUGAAACAUCUAAGUACCCCGAGGAAAAGAAAUCAACCGAGAUUCCCCCAGUAGCGGCGAGCGAACGGGGAGCAGCCCAGAGCCUGAAUCAGUGUGUGUGUUAGUGGAAGCGUCUGGAAAGGCGUGCGAUACAGGGUGACAGCCCCGUACACAAAAAUGCACAUACUGUGAGCUCGAUGAGUAGGGCGGGACACGUGGUAUCCUGUCUGAAUAUGGGGGGACCAUCCUCCAAGGCUAAAUACUCCUGACUGACCGAUAGUGAACCAGUACCGUGAGGGAAAGGCGAAAAGAACCCCGGCGAGGGGAGUGAAAAAGAACCUGAAACCGUGUACGUACAAGCAGUGGGAGCACGCUUAGGCGUGUGACUGCGUACCUUUUGUAUAAUGGGUCAGCGACUUAUAUUCUGUAGCAAGGUUAACCGAAUAGGGGAGCCGAAGGGAAACCGAGUCUUAACUGGGCGUUAAGUUGCAGGGUAUAGACCCGAAACCCGGUGAUCUAGCCAUGGGCAGGUUGAAGGUUGGGUAACACUAACUGGAGGACCGAACCGACUAAUGUUGAAAAAUUAGCGGAUGACUUGUGGCUGGGGGUGAAAGGCCAAUCAAACCGGGAGAUAGCUGGUUCUCCCCGAAAGCUAUUUAGGUAGCGCCUCGUGAAUUCAUCUCCGGGGGUAGAGCACUGUUUCGGCAAGGGGGUCAUCCCGACUUACCAACCCGAUGCAAACUGCGAAUACCGGAGAAUGUUAUUACGGGAGACACACGGCGGGUGCUAACGUCCGUCGUGAAGAGGGAAACAACCCAGACCGCCAG